Non-coding RNA from Podarcis lilfordi (Lilford's wall lizard), 67 nucleotides. The record is from the annotation of a GenBank genome assembly. Lineage: Eukaryota; Metazoa; Chordata; Lepidosauria; Squamata; Lacertidae.
ACAGUUCAGUCAGUAGAACACAAGACUCUUAAUUUCGGGGUCAUGGGUUCGAGGCCCACGUUGGGCA